This 530-nucleotide ribosomal RNA is filed under the name uncultured bacterium. Its description in RNAcentral is "bacterial SSU rRNA". It matches the Rfam family "Bacterial small subunit ribosomal RNA", at positions 982 to 1509 of the family's 1533-position model. The record is from RNAcentral.
GUACAUCCAGCGAACUUAGGUCGAGAGAUGCUUCGGUGCUCGGUACGGACUGAGGACAGGUGCUGCAUGGCUGUCGUCAGCUCGUGUUGUGAAAUGUUGGGUUAAGUCCCGCAACGAGCGCAACCCUUAUCCUUUGUUGCCAGCGAUUCGGUCGGGAACUCAAAGGAGACUGCCGGUGAUAAACCGGAGGAAGGUGGGGAUGACGUCAAGUCAUCAUGGCCCUUACGAGUAGGGCUACACACGUGCUACAAUGGCGCAUACAAAGAGAAGCGACCUCGCGAGAGCAAGCGGACCUCAUAAAGUGCGUCGUAGUCCGGAUCGGAGUCUGCAACUCGACUCCGUGAAGUCGGAAUCGCUAGUAAUCGUGGAUCAGAAUGCCACGGUGAAUACGUUCCCGGGCCUUGUACACACCGCCCGUCACACCAUGGGAGUGGGUUGCAAAAGAAGUAGGUAGCUUAACCUUCGGGAGGGCGCUUACCACUUUGUGAUUCAUGACUGGGGUGAAGUCGUAACAAGGUAAGCGUAGCGAG